UGGGCGGACCGUCCCGUCUUGAAACACGGGCCAAGGAGUCUAUCUCAGUCGCGAGUCGGAUCAUGCAAAUGGUUAGGCGCAAUGAAAGUGACCCCGCUAACACGGAGAAAGCGGCUGGGAUGGGACCCGAAAGAUGGUGAGCUAUGCUCGGGCAGGAUGAAGCCAG
This 166-nucleotide ribosomal RNA is filed under the name Ctenophora environmental sample. RNAcentral's name for it is "partial Eukaryotic large subunit ribosomal RNA". It matches the Rfam family "Eukaryotic large subunit ribosomal RNA", at positions 636 to 855 of the family's 3401-position model. The record is from RNAcentral. Lineage: Eukaryota; Metazoa; Ctenophora.